GUACCUGUAGCUCAGUUGGAUAGAGCGUUGGAUUGCGGUUCCAAAGGUCGGGGGUUCGACUCCCUCCAGGUACACCA
This 77-nucleotide transfer RNA is filed under the name Candidatus Saccharimonadota bacterium. Its description in RNAcentral is "tRNA-Arg". It matches the Rfam family "tRNA". From Rfam's summary of the family: Transfer RNA (tRNA) molecules are approximately 80 nucleotides in length. Their secondary structure includes four short double-helical elements and three loops (D, anti-codon, and T loops). Further hydrogen bonds mediate the characteristic L-shaped molecular structure. tRNAs have two regions of fundamental functional importance: the anti-codon, which is responsible for specific mRNA codon recognition, and the 3' end, to which the tRNAs corresponding amino acid is attached (by aminoacyl-tRNA synthetases). tRNAs cope with the degeneracy of the genetic code in two manners: having more than one tRNA (with a specific anti-codon) for a particular amino acid; and 'wobble' base-pairing, i.e. permitting non-standard base-pairing at the 3rd anti-codon position. RNAcentral also lists the same sequence under 1 other name. The record is from RNAcentral. Lineage: Bacteria; Candidatus Saccharimonadota.